This 568-nucleotide long non-coding RNA is filed under the name Gossypium barbadense (sea-island cotton). RNAcentral describes it as "long non-coding RNA (GBAR_LNC003806)". Lineage: Eukaryota; Viridiplantae; Streptophyta; Magnoliopsida; Malvales; Malvaceae. The record is from RNAcentral.
CCCCUGUUAGAUUCCACCCUGAUGAGCCCUAUAACAGCAUCCCCGAAUCCUCCAACAAUAAAGACACUUACUACUACAACAAGAAUGCCUACGAGUCCACUAAGCAGCAAAACUUGGGCGAGGCCAUUUUCACCGAGAAAGGAUGGAGCACCAAGGAAAACCAGAACAACAACUACUACAACGGCAACAAUGGUUACAACAAUGGCGAGAAGCAAGGCAUGAGCGAUACUAGGUACUUGGAGAAUGGAAAGUACUACUAUGACGUCAAGAGUGAGAACAACUAUUAUCCAAACCGGUUCGACAACUCAAGAGGAGUUGCUUCGAGGAACCAGUUCAAUGAGAAUCGUUACAACAACAUGGGAAGGUACCACCAGAACCAAGAGGAGUUCGAGGAAAGCGAGGAAGAGUUCGAACCCUGAUCACCUGUCGUACAGUAUUUCUACAUUUGAUGUGUGAUUUGUGAAGAACAUCAAACAAAACAAGCACUGGCUUUAAUAUGAUGAUAAGUAUUAUGGUAAUUAAUUAAUUGGCAAAAACAACAAUGAAGCUAAAAUUUUAUUUAUUGAGC